AGGGGCAUCAAGGUUUGAAUCCUGGAGUCUGGCUCGCCGGAAGGCAUCUGUUU
This 53-nucleotide ribosomal RNA is filed under the name Xylaria sp.7 RV-2015. RNAcentral's name for it is "partial 18S ribosomal RNA". The record is from RNAcentral. Lineage: Eukaryota; Fungi; Ascomycota; Sordariomycetes; Xylariales; Xylariaceae.